AUGAAGAUCGGGAAAGCUCCUGAGCUCCUGAAGAAGGCUGCAGCGAUGUGCAAGAGCAAGACCACCAGGUUUCUCAUCCUUGCCUCGCUCCAGCGUCGUAGGAUGGCUACGGCUGCUGUGGUCUCCCGCAAGAUCGACACGCUCAUUGUGGCCGACUGGGAGAGAGCAGACCGCCACAAGGCUCUUGCGCUGGGCAUGGUCGAGAAGAGACCGGUUAUCGUCCAUGAGAGUGAAUUUGAGGCCAAUUUCUCUCAUCGCUUGGCGAUGUUCGGUCAAGAUAAUGGUCAUGAUUGCUUUCCAGCUGACCGAACACUGCAUCCCCUCUUCAACGAGGACCACGAGAAUUGUCGUUACACUGACGAUGAUGAUGUGGUACUUGAUUCAUGUGAUCAAGAUGAUGACGAUGAGCCAUCGGUCAUGGAUGUGAUCAAGAGAAACCGAGAAGUUGAAGGGUUGGAGUUCAACAUGGAGGAGGAUAUUGAUCAAGCUGCUGAUAUGUUCAUUAGGAGGUUCCGGCAACGGCUGAACGAGGAAUUUUAG
Molecule: ribosomal RNA, 540 nt
Filed under: Triticum aestivum (bread wheat)
Lineage: Eukaryota; Viridiplantae; Streptophyta; Magnoliopsida; Poales; Poaceae
Description: partial small subunit ribosomal RNA
Source: RNAcentral